RNAcentral lists this ribosomal RNA (466 nucleotides) under uncultured bacterium. RNAcentral describes it as "partial 16S ribosomal RNA". It matches the Rfam family "Bacterial small subunit ribosomal RNA", at positions 28 to 507 of the family's 1533-position model. The record is from RNAcentral.
GACGAACGCUGGCGGCGUGCUUAACACAUGCAAGUCGAACGGAAAGGCCCUGCUUGCAGGGUACUCGAGUGGCGAACGGGUGAGUAACACGUGGGUGAUCUGCCCUGCACUUCGGGAUAAGCCUGGGAAACUGGGUCUAAUACCGGAUGGGAGCCAUUUUUAGUGUGAUGGUUGGAAAGUUUUUUUCGGUGUAGGAUGAGCUCGCGGCCUAUCAGCUUGUUGGUGGGGUAAUGGCCUACCAAGGCGGCGACGGGUAGCCGGCCUGAGAGGGUGGACGGCCACAUUGGGACUGAGAUACGGCCCAGACUCCUACGGGAGGCAGCAGUGGGGAAUAUUGCACAAUGGGCGCAAGCCUGAUGCAGCGACGCCGCGUGGGGGAUGACGGCCUUCGGGUUGUAAACUCCUUUCGCUAGGGACGAAGCUUUUUGUGACGGUACCUAGAUAAGAAGCACCGGCUAACUACGUG